This 253-nucleotide ribosomal RNA is filed under the name uncultured bacterium. RNAcentral's name for it is "partial 16S ribosomal RNA". It matches the Rfam family "Bacterial small subunit ribosomal RNA", at positions 524 to 776 of the family's 1533-position model. The record is from RNAcentral.
UACGUAGGGUGCAAGCGUUGUCCGGAAUUAUUGGGCGUAAAGAGCUCGUAGGCGGUCUGUCGCGUCGAAUGUGAAAACCCGGGGCUCAACCCCGGGCCUGCAUUCGAUACGGGCAGACUAGAGUUCGGUAGGGGAGUCUGGAAUUCCUGGUGUAGCGGUGAAAUGCGCAGAUAUCAGGAGGAACACCGGUGGCGAAGGCGGUCUGCUGGGGUCGAACUGACGCUGAGGCGCGACAGCGUGGGGAGCAAACAGG